UACGGAGGAUGCAAGCGUUAUCCGGAUUUAUUGGAUUUAAAGGGUGCGCAGGUUGUUUGAUAAGUCAGUGGUGAAAGUCUGUCGCUUAACGGUAGGAUUGCCAUUGAUACUGUUAGACUUGAAUAUGGAUGAGGUAGGCGGAAUGUGUAGUGUAGCGGUGAAAUGCAUAGAUAUUACACAGAACACCGAUUGCGAAGGCAGCUUACUAAUCCAUCAUUGACGCUGAGGCACGAAAGCGUGGGGAUCAAA
RNAcentral lists this ribosomal RNA (249 nucleotides) under uncultured prokaryote. Its description in RNAcentral is "partial 16S ribosomal RNA". It matches the Rfam family "Bacterial small subunit ribosomal RNA", at positions 524 to 772 of the family's 1533-position model. The record is from RNAcentral.